RNAcentral lists this ribosomal RNA (257 nucleotides) under uncultured bacterium. RNAcentral describes it as "partial 16S ribosomal RNA". It matches the Rfam family "Bacterial small subunit ribosomal RNA", at positions 98 to 354 of the family's 1533-position model. The record is from RNAcentral.
CGGGACUGGUGAGUAACGCGUGAGGAACCUGCCUUUCGGAGGGGGACAACAGUUGGAAACGACUGCUAAUACCGCAUGACGUAUCGGGAUCGCAUGGUCUUGAUACCAAAGAUUUUAUCGCCGAAAGAUGGCCUCGCGUCUGAUUAGCUAGUUGGUGGGGUAACGGCCUACCAAGGCGACGAUCAGUAGCCGGACUGAGAGGUUGGCCGGCCACAUUGGGACUGAGAUACGGCCCAGACUCCUACGGAAGGCAGCAG